GGGGCCGUCAUGGUUUCGACAGGAUAAAGUUUAGUUAGAAAGUCAGUCCAGUGGUGAGGUAAUCACUAUUUCGAAAAUAAUCGGAAACAAUCAAAAUUAUUCAUACGCUGCAUAAUACCUAAAAACUGGUUAGCAGCCAAUUAUAGGCGAUUUGUCUAGAGUCAAAUAUAAUUGCAAUUUAUCUAGAUGCGCUAUUUAUUUGAUCAAACUAAAUAGUUUAAUUUAAGAUCUAUAAAUAAUUAGUUUUUGUUUACUUUUACUUUUUAUUUGAACAUAUAAAAGUAUUCUAAACUGUAAAUCUUCUAACACGGGACUUAUUUUGGACAGGGGUUCGACUCCCCUCGGCUCCACCA
Molecule: transfer-messenger RNA, 353 nt
Filed under: Erysipelotrichaceae bacterium OttesenSCG-928-M19
Lineage: Bacteria; Bacillati; Bacillota; Erysipelotrichia; Erysipelotrichales; Erysipelotrichaceae
Rfam family: transfer-messenger RNA
About the family: Bacterial tmRNA, also known as 10Sa RNA or SsrA, is named for its dual tRNA and mRNA-like properties. Its role is to liberate the mRNA from a stalled ribosome.
Source: RNAcentral